RNAcentral lists this ribosomal RNA (253 nucleotides) under uncultured bacterium. RNAcentral's name for it is "partial 16S ribosomal RNA". It matches the Rfam family "Bacterial small subunit ribosomal RNA", at positions 524 to 776 of the family's 1533-position model. The record is from RNAcentral.
UACGUAGGGGGCAAGCGUUGUCCGGAAUCAUUGGGCGUAAAGGGCGCGUAGGUGGCCCGGUCAGCGUGCGGUGAAAGCUCGGGGCUCAACCCCGAGUCGGCCGUGCGAACUGCUGGGCUCGAGCACUGUAGAGGCAGGCGGAAUUCCGGGUGUAGCGGUGGAAUGCGUAGAGAUCCGGAAGAACACCGGUGGCGAAGGCGGCCUGCUGGGCAGUGGCUGACACUGAGGCGCGACAGCGUGGGGAGCAAACAGG